GUAGGUGAACCUGCGGAAGGAUCAUUAACACAUCCCCAACCCUUUUCUUCUUUUUUCCUUUAAAACGGAAAAAAAGAAGAUUUGAACCCCCUUCAUUGCGAACUCGUUUGGAAGUGCAUCACAUGACCACUUCCGCUUUUUUUCCUUUUCCUCUUUCUUUAAAAAACCCCAAUGGAAAAAAUCAACUGACUGAAAAUCGGUUUUUUUCCUCUUUUUGUUGUUGUUGUAACAAACCCCAACAAGGAGAGAAACAAAACUUUGAAAAAAAAACACAAAUUAUGAAACAACUCUUAGCAACGGAUAUCUUGGCUCUC
RNAcentral lists this unclassified non-coding RNA (314 nucleotides) under rhizosphere metagenome. RNAcentral describes it as "partial ribosomal RNA internal transcribed spacer region". The record is from RNAcentral.